Long non-coding RNA from Daphnia pulicaria, 648 nucleotides. RefSeq lists it as uncharacterized. The transcript is spliced from 3 exons. Lineage: Eukaryota; Metazoa; Arthropoda; Branchiopoda; Diplostraca; Daphniidae. The record is from RefSeq and is a predicted model, not a curated record.
GCUUCUACUAAAAUCAGUUAUCGAACAGAGAGCACCUAUGUAGAAAAAGAAAUUAGUAACGGGAGUUCAUUCAUUUACUACUACUAACAGUUUACCACAGAAAUCAGGACAAAUCAGGACUAACAAACACCAAAACUUACUACUAGUAUACUAGAAAAGCUGCAGUUCAUAUCGACCAUCGCUAGAUGGGGGUAUUGCCUUUCUGGGGGGCAAUAGCCAGAAAUGCUAUUACCCCCCAGAUUCUGGGGGGCAAUAGAUUUUACCUUUUGUUUCUGGUAGUAAUUGAGUUUUUAUCUUUCUAUUAACAGCCUUAUGGAGCCUGAUUUUCUUCAUGUGUUACAUGCACGUUAUCGCCGAACUGUCAUGAAGAUGUUGGGUCUUAAAGGGGGUCUCUACAAAUUGAAAGACAAAUAAUAUGAAAAGAGGAAAUCUGAAAAGGAUUCCUCGUUCAGUUUGGUGUUUGAUCUGUGGUGAUGUUUGGUAUGCAGUACAAUAUUGCAUGACCAAAAAGGACUGGCGUCGUGCUGCUGUUGAUUGUUGUCUUUAAAUACCACACCAUCGAUGCUCCAGAAUAUUACACUACAACUUAUGCUGUUCCAACGUCUGCAUCACCAAAAAAGUGCCCGAGUGCUACACCAUGGCUCCCAA